UACGGGGGGGGCAAGCGUUGUUCGGAAUUACUGGGCGUAAAGGGCGCGUAGGCGGCCAUCUAAGUCAGACGUGAAAUCCCUCGGCUCAACCGAGGAACUGCGUCUGAUACUGGAAGGCUUGAAUCCGGGAGAGGGAUGUGGAAUUCCAGGUGUAGCGGUGAAAUGCGUAGAUAUCUGGAGGAACACCGGUGGCGAAGGCGGAUCUCUGGGCCGAUACUGACGCUGAGGAGCGAAAGCGUGGGGAGCGAACAGG
This 253-nucleotide ribosomal RNA is filed under the name uncultured bacterium. RNAcentral's name for it is "partial 16S ribosomal RNA". It matches the Rfam family "Bacterial small subunit ribosomal RNA", at positions 524 to 776 of the family's 1533-position model. The record is from RNAcentral.